RNAcentral lists this ribosomal RNA (441 nucleotides) under uncultured bacterium. Its description in RNAcentral is "partial 16S ribosomal RNA". It matches the Rfam family "Bacterial small subunit ribosomal RNA", at positions 338 to 795 of the family's 1533-position model. The record is from RNAcentral.
CCUACGGGUGGCAGCAGUGGGGAAUAUUGCACAAUGGGGGGAACCCUGAUGCAGCGACGCCGCGUGGGUGAAGGAGUAUUUCGGUAUGUAAAGCCCUAUCAGCAGGGAAGAACAAUGACGGUACCUGACAAAGAAGCACCGGCUAAAUACGUGCCCGCAGCCGCGGUAAUACGUAUGGUGCCAGCGUUAUCCGGAUUUACUGGGGGUAACGGGAGCGCAGGCGGUGCGUUAAGGCCGGUGUGAAAGCCCGGGGCCCAACCGCGGGACUGCAUUGGGAACUGGCGAGCUGGAGUGCCGGAGGGGUAGGCGGAAUUCCUAGUGUAGCGGUGAAAUGCGUAGAUAUUAGGAGGAACACCAGUGGCGAAGGCGGCCUACUGGACGGUGACUGACGCUGAGGCUCGAAAGCGUGGGGAGCAAACAGGAUUAGAUACCCGUGUAGUC